GGCGAGGUAGCUCAGAUGGUCAGAGCAUGCGGCUCAUAUCCGCAGUGUCGGGGGUUCAAUCCCCUCCCUCGCUACCA
RNAcentral lists this transfer RNA (77 nucleotides) under Desulfovibrio psychrotolerans. RNAcentral's name for it is "tRNA-Met". It matches the Rfam family "tRNA". Rfam says of the family: Transfer RNA (tRNA) molecules are approximately 80 nucleotides in length. Their secondary structure includes four short double-helical elements and three loops (D, anti-codon, and T loops). Further hydrogen bonds mediate the characteristic L-shaped molecular structure. tRNAs have two regions of fundamental functional importance: the anti-codon, which is responsible for specific mRNA codon recognition, and the 3' end, to which the tRNAs corresponding amino acid is attached (by aminoacyl-tRNA synthetases). tRNAs cope with the degeneracy of the genetic code in two manners: having more than one tRNA (with a specific anti-codon) for a particular amino acid; and 'wobble' base-pairing, i.e. permitting non-standard base-pairing at the 3rd anti-codon position. The record is from RNAcentral. RNAcentral also lists the same sequence under 3 other names. Lineage: Bacteria; Pseudomonadati; Thermodesulfobacteriota; Desulfovibrionia; Desulfovibrionales; Desulfovibrionaceae.